AUUGAACGCUGGCGGCAGGCCUAACACAUGCAAGUCGAACGGCAGCGGGGGAUAGCUUGCUAUCCUGCCGGCGAGUGGCGGACGGGUGAGUAAUGCAUGGGGAGCUGCCCAGUCGAGGGGGAUAACAACUGGAAACGGUUGCUAAUACCGCAUACGCCCUAAGGGGGAAAGGUGGGGAACUUCGGUCCUACCGCGAUUGGAUGCGCCCAGGUGGGAUUAGCUAGUUGGGGAGGUAACGGCUCACCAAGGCGACGAUCACUAGCUGGUCUGAGAGGAUGACCAGCCACACUGGAACUGAGACACGGUCCAGACUCCUACGGGAGGCAGCAGUGGGGAAUAUUGAACAAUGGGGGAAACCCUGAUGCAGCCAUGCCGCGUGUGUGAAGAAGGCCUUCGGAUUGUAAAGCACUUUCAGUCAGGAGGAAGGGGUGAUGGCUAAUAUCCAUCAUCAUUGACGUUACUGACAGAAGAAGCACCGGCUAACUCCGUGCCAGCAGCCGCCGUAA
RNAcentral lists this ribosomal RNA (506 nucleotides) under uncultured bacterium. Its description in RNAcentral is "partial 16S ribosomal RNA". It matches the Rfam family "Bacterial small subunit ribosomal RNA", at positions 29 to 523 of the family's 1533-position model. The record is from RNAcentral.